UGGGGAAUUUUGCACAAUGGGGGAAACCCUGAUGCAGCGACGCCGCGUGAUUUAGAAGGCCUUCGGGUUGUAAAAAUCUUCUCUAUGGGAAGAAAAUGACAGUACCAUAGGAAUAAGGACCGGCUAAUUACGUGCCAGCAGCCGCGGUAAUACGUAAGGUCCGAGCGUUGUCCGGAAUCAUUGGGCGUAAAGGGUACGUAGGCGGGUAAGCAAGUUAGAAGUGAAAUCCUAUAGCUCAACUAUAGUAAGCUUUUAAAACUGCUCAUCUUGAGGUAUGGAAGGGAAAGUGGAAUUCCUAGUGUAGCGGGGAAAUGCGCAGAUAUUAGGAGGAAUACCGGUGGCGAAGGCGACUUUCUGGCCAUAACCUGACGCUGAGGUACGAAAGCGUGGGUAGCAAACAGG
This 402-nucleotide ribosomal RNA is filed under the name bacterium. RNAcentral's name for it is "partial 16S ribosomal RNA". It matches the Rfam family "Bacterial small subunit ribosomal RNA", at positions 355 to 776 of the family's 1533-position model. The record is from RNAcentral.